ACAAGCGUGUUCUGUCUUGGCAGCUGAAGUUCCGAAUUGCUGCAGAGAUAGGGACGCGCUUACUA
This 65-nucleotide microRNA precursor is filed under the name Glycine max (soybean). RNAcentral's name for it is "miR4340 stem-loop (gma-MIR4340)". Lineage: Eukaryota; Viridiplantae; Streptophyta; Magnoliopsida; Fabales; Fabaceae. The record is from miRBase by way of RNAcentral.